This 275-nucleotide ribosomal RNA is filed under the name uncultured bacterium. RNAcentral's name for it is "partial 16S ribosomal RNA". It matches the Rfam family "Bacterial small subunit ribosomal RNA", at positions 523 to 797 of the family's 1533-position model. The record is from RNAcentral.
AUACGGAGGGUGCAAGCGUUACUCGGAAUCACUGGGCGUAAAGCGCGCGCAGGCGGCUAUUUAAGUUGGAUGUGAAAGCCUACGGCUCAACCGUAGAACUGCAUCCAAAACUAUUUAGCUAGAGUGUGGGAGAGGAAGAUGGAAUUAGUUGUGUAGGGGUAAAAUCCGUAGAGAUAACUAGGAAUACCAAAAGCGAAGGCAAUCUUCUGGAACACUACUGACGCUGGGGCGCGAAAGCGUGGGGAGCAAACGGGAUUAGAAACCCUAGUAGUCCC